CCUACGGGAGGCAGCAGUGGGGAAUUUUGGACAAUGGGCGCAAGCCUGAUCCAGCCAUGCCGCGUGCAGGAUGAAGGCCUUCGGGUUGUAAACUGCUUUUGUACGGAACGAAAAGACUCUGGUUAAUACCUGGGGUCCAUGACGGUACCGUAAGAAUAAGCACCGGCUAACUACGUGCCAGCAGCCGCGGUAAUACGUAGGGUGCGAGCGUUAAUCGGAAUUACUGGGCGUAAAGCGUGCGCAGGCGGUUAUGUAAGACAGAUGUGAAAUCCCCGGGCUCAACCUGGGAACUGCAUUUGUGACUGCAUAGCUAGAGUACGGCAGAGGGGGAUGGAAUUCCGCGUGUAGCAGUGAAAUGCGUAGAUAUGCGGAGGAACACCGAUGGCGAAGGCAAUCCCCUGGGCCUGUACUGACGCUCAUGCACGAAAGCGUGGGGAGCAAACAGGAUUAGAUACCCUGGUAGUCCACGCCCUAAACGAUGUCAACUGGUUGUUGGGUCUUCACUGACUCAGUAACGAAGCUAACGCGUGAAGUUGACCGCCUGGGGAGUACGGCCGCAAGGUUGAAACGUCAAAGGAAUUGACGG
Molecule: ribosomal RNA, 586 nt
Filed under: uncultured bacterium
Lineage: Bacteria
Description: bacterial SSU rRNA
Rfam family: Bacterial small subunit ribosomal RNA
Source: RNAcentral